Molecule: ribosomal RNA, 292 nt
Filed under: uncultured bacterium
Lineage: Bacteria
Description: partial 16S ribosomal RNA
Rfam family: Bacterial small subunit ribosomal RNA
Source: RNAcentral
GUGCCAGCAGCCGCGGUAAUACGAAGGGGGCUAGCGUUGCUCGGAUUUACUGGGCGUAAAGGGCGCGUAGGCGGACAGUUAAGUUGGGGGUGAAAGCCCGGGGCUCAACCUCGGAAUUGCCUUCAAUACUGGCUGUCUUGAGUGUGAGAGAGGUGUGUGGAACUCCGAGUGUAGAGGUGAAAUUCGUAGAUAUUCGGAAGAACACCAGUGGCGAAGGCGACACACUGGCUCACUACUGACGCUGAGGCGCGAAAGCGUGGGGAGCAAACAGGAUUAGAUACCCUGGUAGUCC